RNAcentral lists this ribosomal RNA (402 nucleotides) under uncultured bacterium. RNAcentral's name for it is "bacterial SSU rRNA". It matches the Rfam family "Bacterial small subunit ribosomal RNA", at positions 355 to 774 of the family's 1533-position model. The record is from RNAcentral.
UGGGGAAUAUUGGACAAUGGGCGCAAGCCUGAUCCAGCCAUGCCGCGUGGAUGAUGAAGGCCCUAGGGUUGUAAAGUCCUUUCGGCGGGGAAGAUAAUGACGGUACCCGCAGAAGAAGCCCCGGCUAACUUCGUGCCAGCAGCCGCGGUAAUACGAAGGGGGCUAGCGUUGCUCGGAAUCACUGGGCGUAAAGCGCACGUAGGCGGCUUUCUAAGUCGGUGGUGAAAUCCUGGAGCUCAACUCCAGAACUGCCUCCGAUACUGGAGGGCUCGAGUCCGGGAGAGGUGAGUGGAACUGCGAGUGUAGAGGUGAAAUUCGUAGAUAUUCGCAAGAACACCGGUGGCGAAGGCGGCUCACUGGCCCGGUACUGACGCUGAGGUGCGAAAGCGUGGGGAGCAAACA